This is a long non-coding RNA of Meriones unguiculatus (Mongolian gerbil), 1283 nucleotides long. RefSeq lists it as uncharacterized. Lineage: Eukaryota; Metazoa; Chordata; Mammalia; Rodentia; Muridae. The transcript is spliced from 8 exons. The record is from RefSeq and is a predicted model, not a curated record.
GCAUCCAGUCUCCCCGCAGGGCACCCCGACUUUCAAGGCCGAGGCUGAAUGUCCGACCCAGGGAGAAUGGCAGCAGCUGGCCGUGGAUCCCCAGAACGGCUCGUGCAAAGAGAGCGCGGAGGACUAAGGGAGCACGACGGUGCCGGGCCUGGAGAACCAAGCUACCUGAAACCUAACCUGAUCCCAAAGCAGUAGGAGGACUACAAGGGGGCACCAAGCCUGUCCAGGCCUGGGUACAAGGCGCGCCCCCCCUCCCCCUGGGGAUGGACUUCGAAAGGGAAGAGAAACCACCUAAAGAUGCUGUUCUGCCACCGCCACAGCCCCAGGGUGCUCCAGGAGAGUCAGGGCACACAGCCACCUCUUGCGUCCCUUGUGCGCCCAAGGAGGAAGGGCUUUGGAGAAGUGGAGAGCCAGACGCACGGCCACUUCAUAAGUCCUCUGCAGAGCCAAGGAGGAGGGGCUUUGGAGAAGUGACAACCUUGAGGAGUUUGCCACCACUCCUGCCCUUGCUCAGGAUCAGCCGCGCCACUUUUGUGAAGUAGCCCCCACUGGAGAACAAGUUUGCUAUGGCGAGUGGAUUCCAGUUCAUCUCCUCUGUCUGCUACUUUGAGUCUGGAAAUGACUGGUGGGUGAGCAAGCACAUUAAGAAGCCGAUUCGCUCCACAGUCUUCAGCUUGGGCUGGCACCUCAACAACAUUUGGCUGGCUGCAGGGUCAUGUGACUUCAAAUGCAGCCAGGUGUCCAUUUACGAGGUGGACCAACAGGACUGUCGCAAAUUCUGUACCACUGGCAUCAACGGGGCCAUGAUGAUCUGGGAUUUCAAGGCAUCCCGGAAGCCAUCAUGGGUGUUAAUAUCCUGAUAGGAGCCACAGGCACCUGGAGGCCACCAUGGGUGUUGGUAUCCUGAUAGGAGCUAGAUGUCAAUAAAGAGCCAUAUGUCCCCUUUGUCGGAGCAAGGAAAAUGGCUGUUUUGCUGGACCAGAACUUUUGCACAGAUUCUUGAUGGAUGCUGUUUUUGAUCUAUCCCAGGAGAAUCCAUAUUGACCCACAUGGAUGCCUAUGAGGAGUUCACCUCCGAUGGAAUAUACUGAACCUUGCUAUGCCAAGGCCACAUGAAACUCAGAAAAGACAAAAGAAGAAAAAAAAAACUACAUCUCUCCUUGUUCAAUGAUGUUUUGGUUGUGCCUAAUAAACUGUGAGUAUGUCCCUCAUGCCUGCCAUACUAUUAGAGGCUACACUUUGAUUAGGCUGUACUAUACAGAAAUAAAAUAGUUUUUUAUUUA